AACGAACGCUGGCGGCAUGCCUAACACAUGCAAGUCGAACGAGACCUUCGGGUCUAGUGGCGCACGGGUGCGUAACACAUGGGAAUCUGCCCUUUGCUUCGGAAUAACAGUUAGAAAUGACUGCUAAUACCGGAUGAUGUCGAAAGACCAAAGAUUUAUCGGCAAAGGAUGAGCCCGCGUAGGAUUAGGUAGUUGGUGGGGUAAAGGCCUACCAAGCCGACGAUCCUUAGCUGGUCUGAGAGGAUGAUCAGCCACACUGGGACUGAGACACGGCCCAGACUCCUACGGGAGGCAGCAGUGGGGAAUAUUGGACAAUGGGCGAAAGCCUGAUCCAGCAAUGCCGCGUGAGUGAUGAAGGCCUUAGGGUUGUAAAGCUCUUUUACCAGGGAUGAUAAUGACAGUACCUGGAGAAUAAGCUCCGGCUAACUCCGUGCCAGCCGCCGCAGUAA
Molecule: ribosomal RNA, 449 nt
Filed under: uncultured bacterium
Lineage: Bacteria
Description: partial 16S ribosomal RNA
Rfam family: Bacterial small subunit ribosomal RNA
Source: RNAcentral